Molecule: ribosomal RNA, 428 nt
Filed under: bacterium
Lineage: Bacteria
Description: partial 16S ribosomal RNA
Rfam family: Bacterial small subunit ribosomal RNA
Source: RNAcentral
UAGGGAAUCUUCGGCAAUGGGGGCAACCCUGACCGAGCAACGCCGCGUGAGUGAAGAAGGUUUCGGAUCGUAAAGCUCUGUUGUAAGAGAAGAACGUGUGUGAGAGUGAAAAGUUCACACAGUGACGGUAACUUACCAGAAAGGGACGGCUAACUACGUGCCAGCAGCCGCGGUAAUACGUAGGUCCCGAGCGUUGUCCGGAUUUAUUGGGCGUAAAGCGAGCGCAGGCGGUUUAAUAAGUCUGAAGUUAAAGGCAGUGGCUUAACCAUUGUUCGCUUUGGAAACUGUUAAACUUGAGUGCAGAAGGGGAGAGUGGAAUUCCAUGUGUAGCGGUGAAAUGCGUAGAUAUAUGGAGGAACACCGGUGGCGAAAGCGGCUCUCUGGUCUGUAACUGACGCUGAGGCUCGAAAGCGUGGGGAGCAAACAGG